CCUACGGGAGGCUGCAGUAGGGAAUUUUCGUCAAUGGGCGCAAGCCUGAACGAGCAAUGCCGCGUGAACGAGGAAGGUCUUCGGAUCGUAAAGUUCUGUUGAAGGGGAAAAAGAGCGGAGAGAGGAAAUGAACUCCGAUUGAUAUUACCCUUCGAGGAAGCCACGGCUAACUACGUGCCAGCAGCCGCGGUAAUACGUAGGUGGCGAGCGUUAUCCGGAAUGAUUGGGCGUAAAGGGUGCGUAGGCGGCCUGUUAAGUCUGGAGUGAAAGGUAGCGGCUCAACCGGUACAGGCUCUGGAAACUGGCGGGCUAGAGAGAAGGAGAGGGCAGUGGAAAUCCAUGGGUAGCGGGAAAAUGCGU
This 360-nucleotide ribosomal RNA is filed under the name uncultured bacterium. RNAcentral describes it as "partial 16S ribosomal RNA". It matches the Rfam family "Bacterial small subunit ribosomal RNA", at positions 338 to 691 of the family's 1533-position model. The record is from RNAcentral.